AGAGUUUGAUCAUGGCUCAGAUUGAACGCUGGCGGCAGGCCUAACACAUGCAAGUCGAGCGGUAGCACAGAGAGCUUGCUCUCGGGUGACGAGCGGCGGACGGGUGAGUAAUGUCUGGGAAACUGCCUGAUGGAGGGGGAUAACUACUGGAAACGGUAGCUAAUACCGCAUAAUGUCGCAAGACCAAAGUGGGGGACCUUCGGGCCUCAUGCCAUCAGAUGUGCCCAGAUGGGAUUAGCUAGUAGGUGGGGUAACGGCUCACCUAGGCGACGAUCCCUAGCUGGUCUGAGAGGAUGACCAGCCACACUGGAACUGAGACACGGUCCAGACUCCUACGGGAGGCAGCAGUGGGGAAUAUUGCACAAUGGGCGCAAGCCUGAUGCAGCCAUGCCGCGUGUGUGAAGAAGGCCUUCGGGUUGUAAAGCACUUUCAGCGGGGAGGAAGGCGNNNNNNNNNNNNNNNNNCGAUUGACGUUACCCGCAGAAGAAGCACCGGCUAACUCCGUGCCAGCAGCCGCGGUAAUACGGAGGGUGCAAGCGUUAAUCGGAAUUACUGGGCGUAAAGCGCACGCAGGCGGUCUGUCAAGUCGGAUGUGAAAUCCCCGGGCUCAACCUGGGAACUGCAUUCGAAACUGGCAGGCUAGAGUCUUGUAGAGGGGGGUAGAAUUCCAGGUGUAGCGGUGAAAUGCGUAGAGAUCUGGAGGAAUACCGGUGGCGAAGGCGGCCCCCUGGACAAAGACUGACGCUCAGGUGCGAAAGCGUGGGGAGCAAACAGGAUUAGAUACCCUGGUAGUCCACGCCGUAAACGAUGUCGAUUUGGAGGUUGUGCCCUUGAGGCGUGGCUUCCGGAGCUAACGCGUUAAAUCGACCGCCUGGGGAGUACGGCCGCAAGGUUAAAACUCAAAUGAAUUGACGGGGGCCCGCACAAGCGGUGGAGCAUGUGGUUUAAUUCGAUGCAACGCGAAGAACCUUACCUGGUCUUGACAUCCACAGAACUUUCCAGAGAUGGAUUGGUGCCUUCGGGAACUGUGAGACAGGUGCUGCAUGGCUGUCGUCAGCUCGUGUUGUGAAAUGUUGGGUUAAGUCCCGCAACGAGCGCAACCCUUAUCCUUUGUUGCCAGCGGUUAGGCCGGGAACUCAAAGGAGACUGCCAGUGAUAAACUGGAGGAAGGUGGGGAUGACGUCAAGUCAUCAUGGCCCUUACGACCAGGGCUACACACGUGCUACAAUGGCAUAUACAAAGAGAAGCGACCUCGCGAGAGCAAGCGGACCUCAUAAAGUAUGUCGUAGUCCGGAUUGGAGUCUGCAACUCGACUCCAUGAAGUCGGAAUCGCUAGUAAUCGUAGAUCAGAAUGCUACGGUGAAUACGUUCCCGGGCCUUGUACACACCGCCCGUCACACCAUGGGAGUGGGUUGCAAAAGAAGUAGGUAGCUUAACCUUCGGGAGGGCGCUUACCACUUUGUGAUUCAUGACUGGGGUGAAGUCGUAACAAGGUAACCGUAGGGGAACCUGCGGUUGGAUCACCU
RNAcentral lists this ribosomal RNA (1526 nucleotides) under Klebsiella pneumoniae. RNAcentral's name for it is "bacterial SSU rRNA". It matches the Rfam family "Bacterial small subunit ribosomal RNA". Lineage: Bacteria; Pseudomonadati; Pseudomonadota; Gammaproteobacteria; Enterobacterales; Enterobacteriaceae. The record is from RNAcentral.